Molecule: ribosomal RNA, 460 nt
Filed under: uncultured bacterium
Lineage: Bacteria
Description: partial 16S ribosomal RNA
Rfam family: Bacterial small subunit ribosomal RNA
Source: RNAcentral
CCUACGGGUGGCAGCAGUGAGGAAUAUUGGUCAAUGGGCGGAAGCCUGAACCAGCCAAGUCGCGUGAGGGAUUAAGGCCCUGCGGGUCGUAAACCUCUUUUGCCGGGGAGCAGUGGUCCGGACGCGUCCGGACCGGGAGAGUACCCGGAGAAAAAGCAUCGGCUAACGCCGUGCCAGCAGCCGAGGUAAGACGGGGGAUGGGAGCGGUAUGCGGAUUUAUUGGGUUUAAAGGGUGCGUAGUGGUGCAUUUAAGCCGGCGGUCAAAUGUCGGGGCUCAGCCCCGGCCUGCCGUCGGAACGGGGUGCCUUGAGUGGGCGAGAAGUAUGCGGAAUGCGUGGUGUAGCGGUGAAAUGCAUAGAUAUCACGCAGAACCCCGAUUGCGAAGGCAGCAUACCGGCGCCCUACUGACGCUGAGGCACGAAAGUGCGGGUAUCGAACAGGAUUAGAUACCCCGGUAGUC